CCAACCAUAGCUCAGUUGGUAGAGCGGAGGACUGUAGAAAGAGCCUUUAUGGCUGCAUCCUAGCCGAUAUCCUUAGGUCACUGGUUCGAAUCCGGUUGGUUGGA
Molecule: transfer RNA, 104 nt
Organism: Strongyloides venezuelensis
Lineage: Eukaryota; Metazoa; Nematoda; Chromadorea; Rhabditida; Strongyloididae
Rfam family: tRNA
About the family: Transfer RNA (tRNA) molecules are approximately 80 nucleotides in length. Their secondary structure includes four short double-helical elements and three loops (D, anti-codon, and T loops). Further hydrogen bonds mediate the characteristic L-shaped molecular structure. tRNAs have two regions of fundamental functional importance: the anti-codon, which is responsible for specific mRNA codon recognition, and the 3' end, to which the tRNAs corresponding amino acid is attached (by aminoacyl-tRNA synthetases). tRNAs cope with the degeneracy of the genetic code in two manners: having more than one tRNA (with a specific anti-codon) for a particular amino acid; and 'wobble' base-pairing, i.e. permitting non-standard base-pairing at the 3rd anti-codon position.
Source: Rfam